ACAAAACGAGUUAAUUGAUGUCGA
Molecule: non-coding RNA, 24 nt
Filed under: Arabidopsis thaliana (thale cress)
Lineage: Eukaryota; Viridiplantae; Streptophyta; Magnoliopsida; Brassicales; Brassicaceae
Source: RNAcentral